CAGUCGAGCGGAACGAUGGAAGCUUGCUUCCAGGCGUCGAGCGGCGGACGGGUGAGUAAUGCAUAGGAAUCUGCCCGAUAGUGGGGGAUAACGUGGGGAAACUCACGCUAAUACCGCAUACGUCCUACGGGAGAAAGCAGGGGAUCUUCGGACCUUGCGCUAUCGGAUGAGCCUAUGUCGGAUUAGCUAGUUGGUGAGGUAACGGCUCACCAAGGCGACGAUCCGUAGCUGGUCUGAGAGGAUGAUCAGCCACACUGGGACUGAGACACGGCCCAGACUCCUACGGGAGGCAGCAGUGGGGAAUAUUGGACAAUGGGGGAAACCCUGAUCCAGCCAUGCCGCGUGUGUGAAGAAGGCCUUCGGGUUGUAAAGCACUUUCAGCGAGGAAGAAGGCCUGAGGGCUAAUACCCUUCAGGAAGGACAUCACUCGCAGAAGAAGCACCGGCUAACUCCGUGCCAGCAGCCGCGGUAAUACGGAGGGUGCGAGCGUUAAUCGGAAUUACUGGGCGUAAAGCGCGCGUAGGUGGCUUGAUAAGCCGGUUGUGAAAGCCCCGGGCUCAACCUGGGAACGGCAUCCGGAACUGUCAGGCUAGAGUGCAGGAGAGGAAGGUAGAAUUCCCGGUGUAGCGGUGAAAUGCGUAGAGAUCGGGAGGAAUACCAGUGGCGAAGGCGGCCUUCUGGACUGACACUGACACUGAGGUGCGAAAGCGUGGGUAGCAAACAGGAUUAGAUACCCUGGUAGUCCACGCCGUAAACGAUGUCGACUAGCCGUUGGGUUCCUUGAGAACUUUGUGGCGCAGUUAACGCGAUAAGUCGACCGCCUGGGGAGUACGGCCGCAA
Molecule: ribosomal RNA, 840 nt
Filed under: Halomonas sp.
Lineage: Bacteria; Pseudomonadati; Pseudomonadota; Gammaproteobacteria; Oceanospirillales; Halomonadaceae
Description: bacterial SSU rRNA
Rfam family: Bacterial small subunit ribosomal RNA
Source: RNAcentral